GAGGAAUAAGCAUCGGCUAACUCCGUGCCAGCAGCCGCGGUAAUACGGGGGAUGCAAGCGUUAUCCGGAAUCAUUGGGCGUAAAGCGCCUGUAGGUUGUUUAAUAAGUCUGUUGUUAAAGACUAGGGCUUAACCCUAGAAAAGCAAUGGAAACUACUAGACUAGAGUAUGGCAGGGGUAGAGGGAAUUUCUAGUGUAGCGGUGAAAUGCGUAGAUAUUAGAAAGAACACCGGUGGCGAAAGCGCUCUACUGGACCAUUACUGACACUCAGAGGCGAAAGCUAGGGUAGCAAAAGGGAUUAGAUACCCCUGUAGUCCUAGCCGUAAACGAUGGAUACUACAUGUUGUGCAUUAUGUACAGUAUGGUAGCUAACGCGUUAAGUAUCCCGCCUGGGGAGUACGCUCGCAAGGGUGAAACUCAAAGGAAUUGACGGGGGCCCGCACAAGCGGUGGAGCAUGUGGUUUAAUUCGAUGCAACGCGAAGAACCUUACCAGGACUUGACAUACUACAAAUUCUUUUGAGAAAAAGAAGUGCCUUCGGGAAUGUAGAUACAGGUGGUGCAUGGCUGUCGUCAGCUCGUGUCGUGAGAUGUUGGGUUAAGUCCCGCAACGAGCGCAACCCUUAUUUUUAGUUACCAAUUCGUUGGGUUCUCUAGAAAGACUGCCGGUGACAGACCGGAGGAAGGUGAGGAUGACGUCAAGUCAGCAUGCCCCUUAUGUCCUGGGCUACACACGUGCUACAAUGGUUAAGACAAAGAGUCGCGAGCUCGUGAGAGUCAGCUAAUCUCAUAAACUUAGCCCAAGUUCAGAUUGUAGGCUGCAACUCGCCUACGUGA
This 834-nucleotide ribosomal RNA is filed under the name uncultured marine bacterium. RNAcentral describes it as "bacterial SSU rRNA". It matches the Rfam family "Bacterial small subunit ribosomal RNA", at positions 481 to 1323 of the family's 1533-position model. The record is from RNAcentral.